This 421-nucleotide ribosomal RNA is filed under the name Rahnella sp. RNAcentral's name for it is "bacterial SSU rRNA". It matches the Rfam family "Bacterial small subunit ribosomal RNA", at positions 334 to 746 of the family's 1533-position model. The record is from RNAcentral. Lineage: Bacteria; Pseudomonadati; Pseudomonadota; Gammaproteobacteria; Enterobacterales; Yersiniaceae.
UACUCCUACCGGGAGGCAGCAGUGGGGAAUAUUGCACAAUGGGCGCAAGCCUGAUGCAGCCAUGCCGCGUGUGUGAAGAAGGCCUUAGGGUUGUAAAGCACUUUCAGCGAGGAGGAAGGCAUCAUACUUAAUACGUGUGGUGAUUGACGUUACUCGCAGAAGAAGCACCGGCUAACUCCGUGCCAGCAGCCGCGGUAAUACGGAGGGUGCAAGCGUUAAUCGGAAUUACUGGGCGUAAAGCGCACGCAGGCGGUUUGUUAAGUCAGAUGUGAAAUCCCCGAGCUUAACUUGGGAACUGCAUUUGAAACUGGCAAGCUAGAGUCUUGUAGAGGGGGGUAGAAUUCCAGGUGUAGCGGUGAAAUGCGUAGAGAUCUGGAGGAAUACCGGUGGCGAAGGCGGCCCCCUGGACAAAGACUGACGU